ACCAAUGGAAUAAUUGGAUUCAAGUUAGCUUCCGGAACUUGUGGGAUCAAGCUAUUGAGCAUAUGGGUAUGGUGUAGAUUAAGUGGGUAUAUAAGCAUUGGAAUUGACUUGGGAGUAAUUGGAGGCUUGUUGGUGAUCAAGCUUGGUUUGGGGGAUAUUUUAAUUGAGCUUGGAGGGGCUGUAAUUUUGAGUUGUUAGGCUGCCUUGGGUGAACCAAGUGAUCGGCCAAGGUAUGGUUUAAGUUUCGCACGUUUAAUAUUUACGGUGUUGUGAAAACUUAGGUUAGAAGAAC
Non-coding RNA from Arachis ipaensis, 292 nucleotides. The record is from RefSeq and is a predicted model, not a curated record. NCBI's taxonomy places the organism in Eukaryota, Viridiplantae, Streptophyta, Magnoliopsida, Fabales, Fabaceae.